This 251-nucleotide unclassified non-coding RNA is filed under the name Hevea brasiliensis (rubber tree). Lineage: Eukaryota; Viridiplantae; Streptophyta; Magnoliopsida; Malpighiales; Euphorbiaceae. The record is from RNAcentral.
AUCAAAGAAAGGAUGAGCACAUGCUUCAAGUGCAGUGCAACGUAGACUUGGUGAGUACUGCAGUAGCCGAGAAGCAAGGUCAAUUGCUUCAGGAGGCAUCCGUUUGUGGAAAACCUUAUGCCAAGGGUGUGCUUUGAUUUGUGGAAACCUAAAAUCAGUAUAGUUUGGAUUCAUACAGCGAAUUUCCUCCCUUGUCGGUGUUCCAAGUACCUUGAUUAUCUCAACAAGCUGGUCCACAGCAUUUUCUCCAG